UAGCGGCGAACGGGUGAGUAAUACAGGGGUAACCACCCCCAAGGAGGAGAAUAACCCACCGAAAGGUGGGCUAAUACUCCAUGUGCUGACCGGGAGGCAUCUUCCGGUCAGGAAAGGUGCCGCAAGGUGCCGCCUUGGGACGGGCUCCUGGCCUAUCAGCUUGAUGGCGGGGUAAAAGCCCACCAUGGCUGAGACGGGUAGCUGGCGUGAGAGCGUGACCAGCCACAGGGGAACUGAGACACGGUCCCCACUCCUACGGGAGGCAGCAGUCUAGAAAUUGGGCAAUGGGCGAAAGCCUGACCCAGCGACACCGCGUGGAGGAUGAAGUCCUUCGGGAUGUAAACUCCUGUCAGGGGAACGAAGCCCGUCUUGGGCGGGUGACGGUACUCCCAGAGGAAGCCCCGGCUAACUACGUGCCAGCAGCCGCGGUAAUACGUAGGGGGCGAGCGCUGUCCGGAUUCACUGGGCGUAAAGAGCGUGUAGGCGGCUGAGCAAGUCAGAUGUGAAAUCCCUGGGCUUAACCCAGGAAGUGCAUUUGAAACUGCUUAGCUUGAGUAAGGAAGAGGGAAGUGGGAUUCCUGGUGUAGAGGUGAAAUUCGUAGAUAUCGGGAGGAACACCAAUAGCGAAGGCAGCUUCCUGGUUCGUUCCUGACGCUCAUACACGAAAGCCAGGGGAGCAAACCGGAUUAGAUACCCGGGUAGUCCUGGCCCUAAACGAUGGGUGCUUGGUGUUGGGAGGGUAAUUCCUUUCAGUGCCGUAGUUAACACGUUAAGCACCCCACCUGGGUAGUACGGUCGCAAGGCUGAAACUCAAAGGAAUUGACGGGACCCCGCACAAGCAGCGGCGCAUGUGGUUUAAUUCGAUGCUACACGAAGAACCUUACCUGGGCUUGACAUGUAUGUGAAAAAAGAUAGAAAUAUCUUUCCUCUAAGGUUUAUACCUUAGACACAUACACAGGUGCUGCAUGGUUGUCGUCAGCUCGUGUCGUGAGAUGUAAGGUUAAGUCCUUGAACGAGCGCAACCCCUGCCCUUAGUUGCUAACAGGUUACUGCUGAGGACACUAAGGGGACUGCCGUCGACAAGACGGAGGAAGGUGGGGAUGACGUCAAAUCCUCAUGGCCUUUACUGUCCAGGGCCACACACACUGCGACAAUGGUGAGGACAAUAGGAAGCAAGAGGGUAACCUUGAGCAAAUCCUCAAAACCUCAUCCCAGUACCGAUUGAGGACUGCAACCUCGUCCUCAUGAAGCUGGAGUUGCUAGUAACUGUGAGUCAGCUCAUAUCACAGUGACAUCACGUUCCCGGGGUUUGUCACACACCGCCCGUCAACACCACCCGAGUUGGUUGCACUCGAAGUCG
RNAcentral lists this ribosomal RNA (1360 nucleotides) under uncultured bacterium. RNAcentral's name for it is "16S ribosomal RNA". It matches the Rfam family "Bacterial small subunit ribosomal RNA", at positions 93 to 1429 of the family's 1533-position model. The record is from RNAcentral.